Molecule: ribosomal RNA, 497 nt
Filed under: uncultured bacterium
Lineage: Bacteria
Description: partial 16S ribosomal RNA
Rfam family: Bacterial small subunit ribosomal RNA
Source: RNAcentral
GAUGAACGCUGGCGGCGUGCCUAAUACAUGCAAGUCGAGCGAACAGACGAGGAGCUUGCUCCUCUGACGUCAGCGGCGGACGGGUGAGUAACACGUGGAUAACCUACCUAUAAGACUGGGAUAACUUCGGGAAACCGGAGCUAAUACCGGAUAAUAUAUUGAACCGCAUGGUUCAAUAGUGAAAGACGGUUUUGCUGUCACUUAUAGAUGUAUCCGCGCCGCAUUAGCUAGUUGGUAAGGUAACGGCUUACCAAGGCAACGAUGCGUAGCCGACCUGAGAGGGUGAUCGGCCACACUGGAACUGAGACACGGUCCAGACUCCUACGGGAGGCAGCAGUAGGGAAUCUUCCGCAAUGGGCGAAAGCCUGACGGAGCAACGCCGCGUGAGUGAUGAAGGUCUUCGGAUCGUAAAACUCUGUUAUUAGGGAAGAACAAAUGUGUAAGUAACUAUGCACGUCUUGACGGUACCUAAUCAGAAAGCCACGGCUAACUACGUG